AGUGAACGCUGGCGGUAGGCCUAACACAUGCAAGUCGAACGGCAGCACAGUAAUAGCUUGCUCUUACGGGUGGCGAGUGGCGGACGGGUGAGGAAUACAUCGGAAUCUACUUUUUCGUGGGGGAUAACGAAGGGAAACUUACGCUAAUACCGCAUACGUCCUACGGGUGAAAGCAGGGGAUCUUCGGACCUUGCGCGAUUGAAUGAGCCGAUGUCGGAUUAGCUAGUUGGCGGGGUAAAGGCCCACCAAGGGGACGAUCCGUAGCUGGGCUGGGAGGGUGAUCAGCCACGCUGGAGCUGACAGCCGGUUCAGGCUCCUACGGGAGGCAGCAGUGGUGAAUAUUGGAAAAUGGGCGCAAGCCUGAUCCAGCCAUACCGCGUGGGUGAAGAAGGCCUUCGGGUGGUAAAGCGCUUUUGUGGGGAAAGAAAAGCAGCAGGUUAAUACCGCGCUGUUUUACCGGUACCCGAAGAGUAGGCACCGGCUACCUUCGU
RNAcentral lists this ribosomal RNA (491 nucleotides) under uncultured bacterium. RNAcentral describes it as "partial 16S ribosomal RNA". It matches the Rfam family "Bacterial small subunit ribosomal RNA", at positions 29 to 506 of the family's 1533-position model. The record is from RNAcentral.